AUACGGAGGGUACGAACGUUAAUCGGAAUUACUGGGCGUAAAGCGCGCGUAGGUGGUUCGGUAAGUGGGAUGUGAAAGCCCCGGGCUCAACCCGGGAACUGCAUUCCAAACUGCCGGGCUAGAGUAUGGUAGAGGGAGGUAGAAUUUCCUGUGUAGCGGUGAAAUGCGUAGAUAUAGGAAGGAAUACCGGUGGCGAAGGCGGCUUCCUGGACCAAUACUGACACUGAGGUGCGAAAGCGUGGGGAGCAAACAGGAGUAGAAACCCCAGUAGUCC
This 274-nucleotide ribosomal RNA is filed under the name uncultured bacterium. Its description in RNAcentral is "partial 16S ribosomal RNA". It matches the Rfam family "Bacterial small subunit ribosomal RNA", at positions 523 to 796 of the family's 1533-position model. The record is from RNAcentral.